Molecule: ribosomal RNA, 374 nt
Filed under: uncultured organism
Description: partial 16S ribosomal RNA
Rfam family: Bacterial small subunit ribosomal RNA
Source: RNAcentral
GGAGGGGUGCAAGCAUUAAUCGGAAUUAUUGGGCGUAAAGGGCGCGUAGGGCGGAUUUGUAAGUCAGAUGUGAAAUUUCGGGGCUCAACCUCGGAGCUGCAUUUGAAACUGCAUUUCUUAGAGGAUUGUCGGAGAAAACGGAAUUCCACGUGUAGCGGUGAAAUGCGUAGAUAUGUGGAAGAACACCUGUGGCGAAAGCGGUUUUCUAGAUAAUUCCUGACGCUGAGGCGCGAGAGCUAGGGGAGCAAACAGGAUUAGAUACCCUGGUAGUCCUAGCCGUAAACGAUGUAUACUUGAAGUAACUGGGCUCAACCCCGGUUGUUUCGGAGCUAACGCGUUAAGUAUACCGCCUGGGGAGUACGCUCGCAAGGGUG